GCCCAGCSGUAAACAAUUAACUCACAACAACCAGCGCCUGGAAAUUACGAGCAAUGCUUAAAACCCAAAGGACUUGACGGUGUCCCACCCAACUAGAGRAGCCUGUUCUAUAAUCGAUGAUCCCCGCUAUACCUAACCAUUUCUAGCUAUUCAGUCUGUAUACCUCCGUCGAAAGCUUACCAUGUGAACGAACUUUAGUAGGCCCAAGGACCCCAUCAACACGUCAGGUCAAGGUGCAGCUUACGAGAUGGAAAGUAAUGGGCUACAAUUUCUAAUCUAGAACAAACGAAAUACUGUGUGAAACCACAGUCACGAAGGCGGAUUUAGUAGUAAAAAGAAAAUAGAGAGUUCUUUUUAACCCGGCUCUGGGACGUGUACACACCGCCCGUCACCCUCUUCGACUACAUAACAAAGUUCAUAACCCCAUUUUUUACUCUAGAAGAGGCAAGUCGUAACAUGGUAAGUGUACUGGAAAGUGUACUUGGUAUAUUA
This 492-nucleotide ribosomal RNA is filed under the name Sylvirana guentheri. Its description in RNAcentral is "partial 12S ribosomal RNA". It matches the Rfam family "Bacterial small subunit ribosomal RNA", at positions 794 to 1533 of the family's 1533-position model. The record is from RNAcentral. Lineage: Eukaryota; Metazoa; Chordata; Amphibia; Anura; Ranidae.